RNAcentral lists this ribosomal RNA (252 nucleotides) under uncultured bacterium. RNAcentral's name for it is "partial 16S ribosomal RNA". It matches the Rfam family "Bacterial small subunit ribosomal RNA", at positions 524 to 776 of the family's 1533-position model. The record is from RNAcentral.
UACGUAGGUCCCGAGCGUUGUCCGGAUUUAUUGGGCGUAAAGCGAGCGCAGGUGGUUUAUUAAGUCUGGUGUAAAAGGCAGUGGCUCAACCAUUGUAUGCAUUGGAAACUGGUAGACUUGAGUGCAGGAGAGGAGAGUAGAAUUCCAUGUGUAGCGGUGAAAUGCGUAGAUAUAUGGAGGAACACCGGUGGCGAAAGCGGCUCUCUGGCCUGUAACUGACACUGAGGCUCGAAAGCGUAGGGAGCAAACAGG